UAGGGAAUAUUGCAAAAUGGGCGCAAGCCUGAUGCAGCAACGCCGCGUGAGUGAUGAAGGCCUUCGGGUCGUAAAACUCUUUUGGAGGGGAUGAGGAAGGACAGUACCCUCUGAAUAAGCCUCGGCUAACUACGUGCCAGCAGCCGCGGUAAAACGUAGGAGGCGAGCGUUAUCCGGAUUUACUGGGUGUAAAGCGCGUGCAGGCGGUUGAGAAAGUUGGAUGUAAAAGCUCCCGGCUCAACUGGGAGAGGUCGUUCAAAACUACUCAACUAGAGGCAGGUAGAGGAAGGCGGAAUUCCGGGUGUAGUGGUGAAAUGCGUAGAUAUCCGGAGGAACACCAGUGGCGAAAGCGGCCUUCUGGGCCUGAACUGACGCUCAGACGCGAAAGCUAGGGUAGCAA
RNAcentral lists this ribosomal RNA (400 nucleotides) under uncultured bacterium. RNAcentral describes it as "bacterial SSU rRNA". It matches the Rfam family "Bacterial small subunit ribosomal RNA", at positions 355 to 771 of the family's 1533-position model. The record is from RNAcentral.